AUGGAGACCCAGCAGGAGCCCACCAAAGCGGGCGCGGUGGUGGCGUCGCCGGGGGUCGCCGGUGGCGGCGGCUUAGUUCUCGAGAAUGAACCCCCAGCGCCAACAACAGCGCAGCAAGGACCUCCGGGUUCAGCAACUGACAGAGACGCGGUGCUGGCCAAGGUGGAGAUGAAUCGGAAGCUGUCGAUGGUGAAGGCGUGGGAGGAGAACCAGAAGAGCAAGGCAGACAACAGGGCUGAGCACAAGAUGUCGUCCAUCCUAUCAUGGGAGAACACAAAGAAGGCGGCGGUCCAAGCCAAGCUCCGAACACGGGAGGAGAAGCUGGAGAGGAAGAAGGCGGAGUACGCGGAGAAGAUGCGGAACCGGGCCGCGAUGAUCCACAAGGAGGCUGAGGAGCAGCGGGCCGCCGUGGAGGCGAGGCGGCAGGAGGAGAUGAUCAAGUGCCAGGAGACGGCGGCCAAGCACCGGUCACAAGGGACCACGCCCGCCAAGAAGUUCCUCACCUGUUUCGGCUGA
RNAcentral lists this ribosomal RNA (516 nucleotides) under Triticum aestivum (bread wheat). Its description in RNAcentral is "partial small subunit ribosomal RNA". Lineage: Eukaryota; Viridiplantae; Streptophyta; Magnoliopsida; Poales; Poaceae. The record is from RNAcentral.